Long non-coding RNA from Lathyrus oleraceus (garden pea), 856 nucleotides. RefSeq lists it as uncharacterized. The transcript is spliced from 4 exons. The record is from RefSeq and is a predicted model, not a curated record. Lineage: Eukaryota; Viridiplantae; Streptophyta; Magnoliopsida; Fabales; Fabaceae.
UGCUCUGUAUUUGGAAUAUAGCUUGCCAAUCCACAGUCUGAAAGAUGAGGAUUAAGCUCUGCAUCAAGUAAUAUAUUGGCUGAUUUAAUAUUCUUAUGCACAACUGAUGGAGAACAAACUUCAUGCAGGUACUCUAAAGUGCGUGCAGUUCCCAAAGCUAUCUUGACACGGGAAUUCCAUAUCAACGGUUUACUGAAUUCAUCAGACACGUGAAGGAAGUCAUGCAGUUCAGCAGCAGGUUCAAUGACUGGACUGGUUCAACAUAUCUGCUUCUGCCUUCAUUUACAAAAUAUGUAUGUUUGCCCUCUUCAUCUGUAUUUGAGACAACUUGUAAGCAUGACUGAAUACUUGAAGAAAUAUAAUCAAGUGAUUCUUUGACAACUGCUGCUGAUUCUGCCUUGUUGAUGGAAAAUUCAUCAAUGCCUUCACGAAGUAUGCACAGAAUGGACUCAAAUUGGUUUCAAAUGAAUAAUAAAAAUGGAUAUGGGUUUAUUGAUGCUGCAGUGUGCUGUAUUAAGACCUGGUUCAGGGAAGACUAAGGCCAAGAUUUGAUGAGCCAACAUGUCAAACUAGGCAUGCUAUGCAUGAGGUAGAAACAAGGCCAUUUACUUGGAAAUGAAGCAACCAAAAGAUAACACAACCAAACGUGGAAAUUGGAUGAAGAAUCAGAGAAAAAGGCUAGAUUAGGUUUUGGAUGAUAAAAAAAAAUGGGGAGGUUGACUUUGGUCAAAGUUGACUAAAAAGUCAACUGUUGGCCAAAGUCAACAAUUAGUCAAAAUUUAUAUUUUUUUUGUUUUUCUUGUAAACAGACAAUGGAUUGAUGAUUAGGGUGAAGUUUAGGGUUUAAAGAAUUUGG